RNAcentral lists this ribosomal RNA (253 nucleotides) under uncultured bacterium. Its description in RNAcentral is "partial 16S ribosomal RNA". It matches the Rfam family "Bacterial small subunit ribosomal RNA", at positions 524 to 776 of the family's 1533-position model. The record is from RNAcentral.
UACGAAGGGGGCUAGCGUUGCUCGGAAUGACUGGGCGUAAAGGGCGCGUAGGCGGCCCGGUAAGUCGGGCGUGAAAUGCCGGGGCUCAACCCCGGGACUGCGUCCGAUACUUCCGAGCUGGAGGUAGGUAGGGGAGAUCGGAAUUCCUGGUGUAGCGGUGAAAUGCGUAGAUAUCUGGAGGAACACCGGUGGCGAAGGCGGCAUCCUGGACCGACACUGACACUGAGGAGCGAAAGCCAGGGGAGCAAACGGG